RNAcentral lists this ribosomal RNA (396 nucleotides) under Triticum aestivum (bread wheat). RNAcentral describes it as "partial small subunit ribosomal RNA". Lineage: Eukaryota; Viridiplantae; Streptophyta; Magnoliopsida; Poales; Poaceae. The record is from RNAcentral.
AUGACCUUGUUUACUUGUUCACAUGCUAAAUCUGACUUUUGGAAAGCCAAGUAUGACCAUGAAGCCGCCAAGAAGGCUAGAGCCACCACCAUAAACGCCAAGAAAAUGACCCGGAGGUCCAAGAAGAAAAAGAGCACCGCUAAGGACCUGUUAAAACUUGAUGAUAUUUCUGAGUCAGAGGACGACACGGGGGCCAGUCAGGCCGUGGAAGAAGAGCAACAUAAGAGCCGCCGUCAGGCCCAGAACGACAAUGAACCGCCUUCCGUUCUUCAACAAACUCCUCAAAACGCCAGAAUGAGGAGGUGUCUCGCUCUUCUGGCGACUCAUCUCAAACUCAAUUUCCGGCUUUCAAGACUACCCCUGGUGGCCAAGCCAAGUCCAAGAAGGCCAAAGUAA